RNAcentral lists this ribosomal RNA (433 nucleotides) under uncultured bacterium. Its description in RNAcentral is "partial 16S ribosomal RNA". It matches the Rfam family "Bacterial small subunit ribosomal RNA", at positions 29 to 507 of the family's 1533-position model. The record is from RNAcentral.
AAUGAACGCUGGCGGCAUGCCUAACACAUGCAAGUCGAACGAGACCUUCGGGUCUAGUGGCGCACGGGUGCGUAACGCGUGGGAACCUGCCCUUAGGUUCGGAAUAACUCCCCGAAAGGGGUGCUAAUACCGGAUAAUGUAUUCGGACCAAAGGUUUAUCGCCGUUGGAUGGGCCCGCGUUGGAUUAGCCAGUUGGUAGGGUAAAUGCCUACCAAGGCGACGAUCCAUAGCUGGUCUGUGAGGAUGGUCAGCCACACUGGGACUGAGACACGGCCCGGACUUCUGCAGGAUGCGGCAGUGGGUAAUAUUGGACAGUGGGCUGAAGGCUGAUCCAGCAAGGCCGCGUAAGUAAUGAAGGCCGGAAGGUUGUAAAGCUCUUUAACCCGGGAUGAUAAUGACAUUACCGGGAGAAUAAGCUCCGGCUAACUCCGUG